UGGUGGCUGCCUGCUUGGCGAUUGCACGAGAUGCUGCUCGGGCGUGGGCUGGCCGACUCGAUCUCCUCGACCCAGGGCCCCGUGCUCGUCAGCGCCUGCCCCAUCGCGCACAACUUCUCUGAUCCAGCGCCAAAUUCCGAGGACCAUGCGGAGCUCGACCUGGAGGCACUCCACCUAAUGGGAGGGCAGCACCAAGAACGGCAACAGCAGUAUGGGCUUGCUGCCAGCAAGGUAGACUAGCUCCCCCCUCCAUUUUUUUGGCAUUUUUCAGUGUACAUCACAUGCUAAACUUGGUAGAACACUAAAUCUUUAAUCACAUAAAUUUCUCACUCACGCAGCUAAACAAUUUGGACACAGAUUUCAUGCCUUGGAAGACUGCUUUGUGCAGAUGGUGGAAGGAGGCAAUCCAAACUUUGUCAGUGAAGUUCCAGUUGAGGAAAGAACAGAGAGAGGAAAGACAACAAAGGGAAUUUGGUUAAAGCGAAAAACAGUUUCGUGUAAAACUCUCCACCCAGUCUCCCAGCUCAGCUCAGCAGUUGAUUCAAGGGCGAUAAUCCGCAGGCAUUUCGGCGAAUGAGGAACCUAACCGACAAAUGGAUUAUUUUUCUGAAUCCUAUUUGUUACAUAUGAGUCGACUGUUGAUACAUGUUUGUUAGGGAUAACUUUGGCAAUAUAUCAUACAAGGAUGGUUGUGGUACUCCGUCAGCAAAGCAACUCUGAUCCCUCCAACUCUCAGGUUUUUUAUUCCUCUACUUAAUGAUGCAUGGGUGUGUACUUGGCUGGUUGGGCUACGUGGUUAGAUUGAUUUUCUGGAAUCCUUUCAGAUUGUUGGACUAUACAGAGCUAAGAUAGAAAACUUUCAGAUGUUGUCCAGAUUGCAUCCUUCAAUGCUAUGUGUACUUCAAUGCUUGAUGUUUCCUCCCCAGGUAGAAUAUUAGUGUUGAUUCCAGUAUCGCAGAUGCAUUUUACCCAAUUGUUUGUGCCGAUUUGGAGGUGCACAUAGUUUGUUCGGCGAUUUGGCAUGUAAAUCCAGAGAUUAAAUUCGAGUGAUACAUACAAAUUGUUCAAAUUGCGUUGCAAUUUUAUGAAUCUAUCAUAUGUGCUAGAUUAUAUAUCUAUGUCAAGAAGGGAUGCAUGAUGCCCCCCACUUUGUCGUGGCUUCGAAUUAGUGGUGCCACGGUUAUGUAUAUCUGCAUGGUGUAUAUUCUAGGAUCAUGAAAGUCUCUGAAUUAGUUUAAUUUUUUUCGUUCUUUGGUUAUAAAUAUAUAAUUUCAGGUUUCUAAGACUAACAGUUUUUUUUUCUUUCUAUAAGGAGUGAAAAAAAUCAUUU
This 1330-nucleotide long non-coding RNA is filed under the name Triticum aestivum (bread wheat). RNAcentral describes it as "long non-coding RNA (TAES_LNC022753)". The record is from RNAcentral. Lineage: Eukaryota; Viridiplantae; Streptophyta; Magnoliopsida; Poales; Poaceae.